Molecule: long non-coding RNA, 1620 nt
Organism: Gallus gallus (chicken)
Lineage: Eukaryota; Metazoa; Chordata; Aves; Galliformes; Phasianidae
Source: Ensembl
GCCCCGACGCGGUGCGUCCGGAGCGCAGCGGUGCGGCCGCGCGGUGCCCGAGCAGCGCCGAGCAAACAAAGCUCCCCCUGCCGAGAGCGGCCCUUUAACGCCCCGGCGCAUCAAGUGGCCAGUUAGAGGCCGGGCUCUCAAGAGGUUAAGACACACAUCUCCAACUUUCAGAAGAGAAGCAGCAAUGUUGUGGGUGACGACAUCAACUUGUGCCUCUCCAAAGCAACGUGGAGGCAUCAGCAGUGCCCCCAGAGCCCCCCAGUCAGCUGUCUUUUAAGUAGAGAGCUCUGUCUUCUUCCCUUCUUCAUUGCACUUCCUCCUCCCCAGCAGGCAGCUGCACACAGGCAGCUGCACACAGGAACUCACAUGAGCUGCAGCGGCCACUCGCACUCACGGUAUGGUGUGGAAGAAAGAGCACACAUGUCAGAGCAAUGUUAAGGAGUUGCUCUAAGUAUCCACAGCAACCCUAUUAAUAUUUAAGCUUUCCAGUGGCACACAUCUACUCCUUCUUUGAAUUGUAAAUCGAGUUAGUUAAUCCUUCAUUUACCACUUGUUUGCAUUUCUGUGUUUCGAUAUGCAAAGGUUCGUUUUUGUCCUCGUUGACAGCACAGUGUGUGCAGCACAGCAUGCCUCAAACCAGCAGGGCCUCAGUGCUGGGCUUAGGCUUUCCUCUUCCUGGCCUUAGUCAGUGGAAUUAAAUGUUGGAGGAUGGAUGCUCUCAAGUUCUGGAAACCUGAACUGUGCCAUCAAGCUGGGGUGUGCGUGGUCCUGUGUGGUGGGCAGCCUCUGCUCAGCAUCACCAGUCCUGCAUCCCCAUCCCACAUCCCUAUCCCCAUCCCGCAUCCCUGUCCUCAUCCUGCAUCCCUGUCCCCAUCUCAUGUUCCUGUCCCGUAUUCUUGUCCCCACCCCACAUCCCUGUCCUCAUCCCUGUACCCCAUCCCAUGCCCUGUCCCAAUCCCACAUGCCUAUCCUCAUCCCCAUCCUGCAUCCCUGUCCCAAUCCCUGUCACCAUCUCCGUCCCCAUCCUCAUCCCCAUCCCCAUCCCUGUCAGCCUGGCCUUGGGCAGCACUGUGACCACACGCUGUCACAGAACCACACACAAGCAUUGCCAGUGAGAGGAUCAAGGCUAAAAACCGGGCGUGUGCGCAAUAAACUACCAAAAUGAGUGAACUUCUGCUCCCGCUGUACUUUUGGCCAUCUGCUAAGAAACAUCGUUAUAAUUCUGUGCCCUCUAGUGGUGCUUAAAAUCAUCUAUUAAUUUAACUAAUAGUGCGGAAAGCAGCCUGCGAGCACAAAUGGUUUGGGGCAGUACUGAAAUGCGGGCAUGCGUGCCAGCGCAGCGAGAAGAAAACACAUUAAUUAACGUGCUGAAUUAAUAUUUUAUUUCCACUAUGUGUAUUUUCCCAUUUAUUCUUUUAUUAAAUAUGUAUUACGGAGAUUGAUGGCAGUUGAUCUAAUCCCUGCUUGUUAACGUGUCACAUAGCUGGAGCAUGAUGUGCUGGUGGGACUGAACAGACCCAAAUGCAGCUGCUGGCCCUGCACCAGGCAGAAGGGCGGUGCUCUGUGUAGGAGCUCACCCUCCUCUAAGUGCACAUUGCAAAAUAAGGUCCUGAAUUUAUA